RNAcentral lists this ribosomal RNA (252 nucleotides) under uncultured bacterium. RNAcentral describes it as "partial 16S ribosomal RNA". It matches the Rfam family "Bacterial small subunit ribosomal RNA", at positions 524 to 776 of the family's 1533-position model. The record is from RNAcentral.
UACGGAGGGGGCUAGCGUUGUUCGGAAUUACUGGGCGUAAAGCGCACGUAGGCGGCUUUGUAAGUUAGAGGUGAAAGCCCAGGGCUCAACCCUGGAAUUGCCUUUAAGACUGCAUCGCUUGAACAUCGGAGAGGUAAGUGGAAUUCCGAGUGUAGAGGUGAAAUUCGUAGAUAUUCGGAAGAACACCAGUGGCGAAGGCGACUUACUGGACGAUUGUGACGCUGAAGUGCGAAAGCGUGGGGAGCAAACAGG